GAGAAUUUGUUUCUCUUGGUCCCUUAUUCUUCCUAGUUCUACAUCAACAGCAUUAGAAAGUAUUAUUUCAGUAAAGCUAAUCACUAAGAGCACUAGAGAAAUUUCUAAAUUCUAUCCAACACAACUAAAAGAGGUUUUUUUUUGGCGGAGGGGUGAACCUGGGGUGUAUAAUGGCAAGAGGGGAAAAAAAUUAUACUUCCAUUUAUAAGAAGCAGUAAUGCAGUUAUUUGUAAGAUGCAACCCAAAAUUUUCAACUUGGCUUUGAAGAAAACCAAAAAUGAUACUAAAUCUAUUAUAUUGCUUCUAAUUUUAUUUAGAC
RNAcentral lists this unclassified non-coding RNA (319 nucleotides) under Hevea brasiliensis (rubber tree). Lineage: Eukaryota; Viridiplantae; Streptophyta; Magnoliopsida; Malpighiales; Euphorbiaceae. The record is from RNAcentral.